UACGGAAGGCAGCAGUGGGGAAUAUUGCACAAUGGGCGCAAGCCUGAUGCAGCCAUGCCGCGUGUAUGAAGAAGGCCUUCGGGUUGUAAAGUACUUUCAGUCGUGAGGAAGGUGUUAAGGUUAAUAACCUUAGCAAUUGACGUUAGCGACAGAAGAAGCACCGGCUAACUCCGUGCCAGCAGCCGCGGUAAUACGGAGGGUGCGAGCGUUAAUCGGAAUUACUGGGCGUAAAGGGCACGCAGGCGGUUAAUUAAGUUGGAUGUGAAAUCCCCGGGCUUAACCUGGGAAUGGCAUUCAGGACUGGUUAGCUAGAGUCUUGUAGAGGGGGUAGAAUUCCAUGUGUAGCGGUGAAAUGCGUAGAGAUGUGGAGGAAUACCGGGUGGCGAAGGCGGCCCCUGGGACAAAGACUGACGCUCAUGUGCGAAAGCGUGGGGAGCAAACAGGGAUUAGAUACC
Molecule: ribosomal RNA, 455 nt
Filed under: uncultured bacterium
Lineage: Bacteria
Description: bacterial SSU rRNA
Rfam family: Bacterial small subunit ribosomal RNA
Source: RNAcentral